AUAUUUAUCAUAUAAUCUUUUCUUAAAUGAAGAUAUAACAUCUAAAGUUUACCUAAUUAAUAUAUUAUUUUUAUAUUAAAUUAAAAAAAUUAAUAAAAAUGAUAAAUGUUAAAACAUAAUUUGAAUGAAGUACAAACAAUCGAUCAAUUUUAGUUAUAAAUAAGAAAUGAUGGAGGGGACUAGUGCAUUGUCAAAAUUUGUUUUCUUUUCAUUUCAAGGUUUUCAUACCACCAAUUGAGAAAUAGAUCGUGAAACCAAAGUAAGUUUCUUUGUUUAUUUUUUAUUUUUUUCACUGAAUUUUAUGAAUUUGGUUGUGGCUAAUGGGGGAGUAGGUCUAUUUUUUUUAUAUUAUUAAACUUUGGUUUAGUUUCUUAUGAGUUUUAUAUUCUUUUGACCUAAAAACUAGGUUGUCAGAUUAUCAUGUGGUGGAGAUAUUAGAUAUUUUAUUCAAUGAAGAUCACGAGCGAAGUGUCUCAAGUUAGGACAUUCCAUUCGAAAAUUCGAGAGUCUCCCAUUGACAUG
This 522-nucleotide long non-coding RNA is filed under the name Lathyrus oleraceus (garden pea). RNAcentral's name for it is "Pisum sativum (pea) long non-coding RNA (PSAT_LNC010389)". Lineage: Eukaryota; Viridiplantae; Streptophyta; Magnoliopsida; Fabales; Fabaceae. The record is from RNAcentral.